This 483-nucleotide ribosomal RNA is filed under the name uncultured bacterium. RNAcentral's name for it is "bacterial SSU rRNA". It matches the Rfam family "Bacterial small subunit ribosomal RNA", at positions 32 to 524 of the family's 1533-position model. The record is from RNAcentral.
AAUCAACGCUGGCGGCGUGCCUCAGACAUGCAAGUCGAACGAUUAAAGCUCUCUUCGGAGAGUGCAUAGAGUGGCGCACGGGUGAGUAACACGUAAGUAAUCUACCUUCGAGUGGGGAAUAACGUCCGGAAACGGACGCUAAUACCGCAUAAUGCAGCGGCAUCGCAAGAUGACAGUUGUUAAAGAUUUAUCGCUUGAAGAGGAGCUUGCGGCAGAUUAGCUAGUUGGUAAGGUAAUGGCUUACCAAGGCUACGAUCUGUAACCGGUCUAAGAGGACGGUCGGUCACACUGACACUGAAUAACGGGUCAGACUCCUACGGGAGGCAGCAGUCGGGAAUUUUGGGCAAUGGGCGAAAGCCUGACCCAGCAACGCCGCGUGAAGGAUGAAGUAUUUCGGUAUGUAAACUUCGAAAGAAUGGGAAGAAUAAAUGACGGUACCAUUUAAUAAGGUCCGGCUAACUACGUGCCAGCAGCCGCAGUAAU